Non-coding RNA from Triticum urartu, 125 nucleotides. Lineage: Eukaryota; Viridiplantae; Streptophyta; Magnoliopsida; Poales; Poaceae. The record is from Rfam.
GUAGUACUCCCUCCGUCCGGAAAUACUUGUCAUCAAAAUGGAUGUAUCUAGAUGUAUUUUUGUUCUAGAUACAUCCAUUUUCAUCCAUUUUGAUGACAAGUAUUUCUAGACGGAGGGAGUAUUAG